AGUGAACGCUGGCGGUAGGCCUAACACAUGCAAGUAGAACGGCAGCACAGUAAGAGCUUGCUCUUACGGGUGGCGAGUGGCGGACGGGUGAGGAAUACAUCGGAAUCUACUUUUUCGUGGGGGAUAACGUAGGGAAACUUACGCUAAUACCGCAUACGACCUACGGGUGAAAGCAGGGGAUCUUCGGACCUUGCGCGAUUGAAUGAGCCGAUGUCGGAUUAGCUAGUUGGCGGGGUAAAGGCCCACCAAGGCGACGAUCCGUAGCUGGUCUGAGAGGAUGAUCAGCCACACUGGAACUUAGACACGGUCCAGACUCCUACGGGAGGCAGCAGUGGGGAAUAUUGGACAAUGGGCGCAAGCCUGAUCCAGCCAUACCGCGUGGGUGAAGAAGGCCUUCGGGUUGUAAAGCCCUUUUGUUGGGAAAGAAAAGCAGCAGGUUAAUACCCCGCUGUUCUGACGGUACCCAAAGAAUAAGCACCGGCUAACUUCGUG
This 492-nucleotide ribosomal RNA is filed under the name uncultured bacterium. RNAcentral's name for it is "partial 16S ribosomal RNA". It matches the Rfam family "Bacterial small subunit ribosomal RNA", at positions 29 to 507 of the family's 1533-position model. The record is from RNAcentral.